RNAcentral lists this ribosomal RNA (374 nucleotides) under uncultured organism. RNAcentral's name for it is "bacterial SSU rRNA". It matches the Rfam family "Bacterial small subunit ribosomal RNA", at positions 526 to 897 of the family's 1533-position model. The record is from RNAcentral.
CGGAGGGUGCGAGCGUUGUUCGGAAUUAUUGGGCGUAAAGCGCGUGUAGGCGGCUCCUUAAGUCUGAUGUGAAAGCCCCGGGCUCAACCUGGGAAGUGCAUUGGAAACUGGGGAACUUGAAUACGGGAGAGGGUAGUGGAAUUCCUGGUGUAGGAGUGAAAUCCGUAGAUAUCAGGAGGAACACCGGUGGCGAAGGCGGCUGCCUGGACCGAUAUUGACGCUGAGACGCGAAAGCGUGGGGAGCAAAACAGGAUUAGAUACCCUGGUAGUCCACGCCGUAAACGAUGAGUACUAGGUGUUGCGGGUAUUGACCCCUGCAGUGCCGCAGCUAACGCAUUAAGUACUCCGCCUGGGAAGUACGGUCGCAAGACUAA